CGAUGUGAGGGCGAUCUGGCUGUGACAUCGGUAACCCCACUGAUCGCCAGGGUUGAUUCAGCUGAUCUGGCUGGCUAGGCGGGUGUCCCUUUCCUCCCUCACCGCUCCAUGUGCGUCCCUCCCGAAGCUGUGCGCUUGGUCGAAGAGGACGACCAUCCCCGCUAGAGGAGGACCCGUCUUCAGUCAAGGGUAUACGAGUAGCUGCGCUCCCCUGCUAGAACCGCCAAACAAGCUCUCAAAACUGUACAUAUGAAAUUUGUUACCGCUACAUAAAAUGUAAAAAGCUAAAUAAAUAAAUGAAUAAUAAAUAAAUAAAAGAACUAAUGGCUAAUAGUUAAUAU
Molecule: unclassified non-coding RNA, 341 nt
Organism: Ochotona princeps (American pika)
Lineage: Eukaryota; Metazoa; Chordata; Mammalia; Lagomorpha; Ochotonidae
Gene: 7SK
Rfam family: 7SK RNA
About the family: 7SK was discovered as an abundant small nuclear RNA in the mid-70s but a possible function has only recently been suggested. Two independent studies have found that 7SK RNA binds the CDK9/cyclin T complex (known as elongation factor P-TEFb).
Source: Ensembl